Molecule: ribosomal RNA, 1343 nt
Filed under: uncultured bacterium
Lineage: Bacteria
Description: 16S ribosomal RNA
Rfam family: Bacterial small subunit ribosomal RNA
Source: RNAcentral
GACGAACGCUGGCGGCGUGCUUAACACAUGCAAGUCGAACGGAAAGGCCCUGCUUUUGUGGGGUGCUCGAGUGGCGAACGGGUGGGUAACACGUGAGUAACCUGCCCUUGACUUUGGGAUAACUUCAGGAAACUGGGGCUAAUACCGGAUAGGAGCUCCUGCUGCAUGGUGGGGGUUGGAAAGUUUCGGCGGUUGGGGAUGGACUCGCGGCUUAUCAGCUUGUUGGUGGGGUAGUGGCUUACCAAGGCUUUGACGGGUAGCCGGCCUGAGAGGGUGACCGGCCACAUUGGGACUGAGAUACGGCCCAGACUCCUACGGGAGGCAGCAGUGGGGAAUAUUGCACAAUGGGCGGAAGCCUGAUGCAGCAACGCCGCGUGCGGGAUGACGGCCUUCGGGUUGUAAACCGCUUUCGCCUGUGACGAAGCGUGAGUGACGGUAAUGGGUAAAGAAGCACCGGCUAACUACGUGCCAGCAGCCGCGGUGAUACGUAGGGUGCGAGCGUUGUCCGGAUUUAUUGGGCGUAAAGGGCUCGUAGGUGGUUGAUCGCGUCGGAAGUGUAAUCUUGGGGCUUAACCCUGAGCGUGCUUUCGAUACGGGUUGACUUGAGGAAGGUAGGGGAGAAUGGAAUUCCUGGUGGAGCGGUGGAAUGCGCAGAUAUCAGGAGGAACACCAGUGGCGAAGGCGGUUCUCUGGGCCUUUCCUGACGCUGAGGAGCGAAAGCGUGGGGAGCGAACAGGCUUAGAUACCCUGGUAGUCCACGCUGUAAACGGUGGGUACUAGGUGUGGGGUCCAUUCCACGGGUUCCGUGCCGUAGCUAACGCUUUAAGUACCCCGCCUGGGGAGUACGGCCGCAAGGCUAAAACUCAAAGGAAUUGGCGGGGCCCCGCACAAGCGGCGGAGCAUGCGGAUUAAUUCGAUGCAACGCGUAGAACCUUACCUGGGUUUGACAUGGAUCGGGAGUGCUCAGAGAUGGGUGUGCCUCUUUUGGGGCCGGUUCACAGGUGGUGCAUGCCUGUCGUCAGCUCGUGUCGUGAGAUGUUGGGUUAAGUCCCGCAACGAGCGCAACCCUUGUUCACUGUUGCCAGCACGUUAUGGUGGGGACUCAGUGGAGACCGCCGGGGUCAACUCGGAGGAAGGUGGGGAUGACGUCAAAUCAUCAUGCCCCUUAUGUCCAGGGCUUCACGCAUGCUACAAUGGCUGGUACAGAGAGUGGCGAGCCUGUGAGGGUGAGCGAAUCUCGGAAAGCCGGUCUCAGUUCGGAUUGGGGUCUGCAACUCGACCUCAUGAAGUCGGAGUCGCUAGUAAUCGCAGAUCAGCAACGCUGCGGUGAAUAAAUUCCCGGG